UACGUAGGGUGCAAGCGUUGUCCGGAAUUAUUGGGCGUAAAGAGCUCGUAGGCGGUUUGUUGCGUCGGCUGUGAAAUCCCGAGGCUCAGCCUCGGGUCUGCAGUCGAUACGAGCAAACUAGAGUGUUGCAGGGGAGACUGGAAUUCCUGGUGUAGCGGUGAAAUGCGCAGAUAUCAGGAGGAACACCGGUGGCGAAGGCGGGUCUCUGGGCAGUAACUGACGCUGAGGAGCGAAAGCGUGGGGAGCGAACAGG
This 253-nucleotide ribosomal RNA is filed under the name uncultured bacterium. RNAcentral describes it as "partial 16S ribosomal RNA". It matches the Rfam family "Bacterial small subunit ribosomal RNA", at positions 524 to 776 of the family's 1533-position model. The record is from RNAcentral.